AGGACAAACGCUGGCGGGGUGCAUGAGACAUGCAAGUCGAACGAGGUGCCAUCGGGCUUGCUCGAUGGUUACCUAGUGGCGGACGGCUGAGUAACGCGUAGGUGACCUACCCGGAAGUGGGGAAUAACUGCCCGAAAGGGUGGCUAAUACCGCAUGUGGUCGGCGAUUCGAUUCGCCGUCUAAAGGAGCAAUUCGCUUCCGGAGGGGCCUGCGUCCGAUUAGCUAGUUGGUGGGGUAACGGCUCACCAAGGCGACGAUCGGUAGCUGGUCUGAGAGGAUGAUCAGCCAGACUGGGACUGAGAACGGCCCAGACUCCUACGGGAGGCAGCAGUCGGGAAUUUUGCCCAAUGGACGAAAGUCUGAGGCAGCAACUCCUCGUGAGGGAUGAAGGCUCUCGGGUCGUAAACCUCUUUUCUCAGGGAAGAUCCAAGACGGUACCUGAGGAAUAAGCGACGGCUAACUACGUGCCAGCAGCCGC
RNAcentral lists this ribosomal RNA (478 nucleotides) under uncultured bacterium. RNAcentral describes it as "SSU rRNA". It matches the Rfam family "Bacterial small subunit ribosomal RNA", at positions 26 to 518 of the family's 1533-position model. The record is from RNAcentral.